Molecule: ribosomal RNA, 448 nt
Filed under: uncultured bacterium
Lineage: Bacteria
Description: SSU rRNA
Rfam family: Bacterial small subunit ribosomal RNA
Source: RNAcentral
AGAGCGAACGCUGGCGGCAGGCCUAACACAUGCAAGUCGAGCGCCCCGCAAGGGGGAGCGGCAGACGGGAGAGUAACACGUGGGAACGUACCCUUCAGUUCGGAACAACCCAGGGAAACUUGGGCUAAUACCGGAUACGUCCGUAAGGAGAAAGAUUUAUCGCUGAAGGAUCGGCCCGCGUCUGAUUAGCUAGUUGGUGGGGUAACUGCUCACCAAGGCGACGAUCAGUAGCUGGUCUGAGAGGAUGAUCAGCCUCACUGGGACUGAGACACGGCCCAGACUCCUACGGGAGGCAGCAGUGGGGAAUAUUGGACAAUGGGCGCAAGCCUGAUCCAGCCAUGCCGCGUGGGUGAUGAAGGCCCUAGGGGUUGUAAAGCCCGUUUCGGCGGGGAAGAGUAAUGACGGUACCCGCAGAAGAAGCCCCGGCUAACUUCGCGCCAGCAGCCGC